GUGAGGAAUAUUGGUCAAUGGGCGCAAGCCUGAACCAGCCAUCCCGCGUGCAGGAAGACGGCGCUAUGCGUUGUAAACUGCUUUUCCAGGGGAAGAAAACCUGAUACGCGUAUCGGCUUGCCGGUACCCUGGGAAUAAGCAUCGGCUAACUCCGUGCCAGCAGCCGCGGUAAUACGGAGGAUGCGAGCGUUAUCCGGAUUUAUUGGGUUUAAAGGGUGCGUAGGCGGAUUAAUAAGUCAGUGGUGAAAACCUGCAGCUUAACUGUGGAACUGCCAUUGAUACUGUUAGUCUUGAGUACGGUCAAGGUAGGCGGAAUGUGUAAUGUAGCGGUGAAAUGCUUAGAUAUUACACAGAACACCGAUUGCGAAGGCAGCUUACUGGGCCAUUACUGACGCUGAUGCACGAAAGCGUGGGGAGCGAACAGGAUUAGAUACCCCAGUAGUCC
This 445-nucleotide ribosomal RNA is filed under the name uncultured Bacteroidota bacterium. Its description in RNAcentral is "bacterial SSU rRNA". It matches the Rfam family "Bacterial small subunit ribosomal RNA", at positions 354 to 796 of the family's 1533-position model. Lineage: Bacteria; Pseudomonadati; Bacteroidota. The record is from RNAcentral.